RNAcentral lists this unclassified non-coding RNA (171 nucleotides) under soil metagenome. Its description in RNAcentral is "partial contains 5.8S ribosomal RNA, internal transcribed spacer 2, and large subunit ribosomal RNA". The record is from RNAcentral.
AACGCACGAGACCUGCGGACCUGCGGAAGGAUCAUUACAAAUCUUUAGAGGCCCAAUUUUUUUUGGGUCUUAUAUGUCCGAAGCAGCAAUGCUUCGUUACAUUUACGCUUGUAUGUUUGACAGAGUUUAGUGUGAUUUUUAAAUAUACAAAACUUUCAACAACGGAUCUCU